This 1021-nucleotide ribosomal RNA is filed under the name Bacillus sp. (in: firmicutes). RNAcentral describes it as "bacterial SSU rRNA". It matches the Rfam family "Bacterial small subunit ribosomal RNA", at positions 59 to 1062 of the family's 1533-position model. The record is from RNAcentral. Lineage: Bacteria; Bacillati; Bacillota; Bacilli; Caryophanales; Bacillaceae.
CAGUCGAGCGGACAGAUGGGAGCUUGCUCCCUGAUGUUAGCGGCGGACGGGUGAGUAACACGUGGGUAACCUGCCUGUAAGACUGGGAUAACUCCGGGAAACCGGGGCUAAUACCGGAUGCUUGAUUGAACCGCAUGGUUCAAUUAUAAAAGGUGGCUUUUAGCUACCACUUACAGAUGGACCCGCGGCGCAUUAGCUAGUUGGUGAGGUAACGGCUCACCAAGGCGACGAUGCGUAGCCGACCUGAGAGGGUGAUCGGCCACACUGGGACUGAGACACGGCCCAGACUCCUACGGGAGGCAGCAGUAGGGAAUCUUCCGCAAUGGACGAAAGUCUGACGGAGCAACGCCGCGUGAGUGAUGAAGGUUUUCGGAUCGUAAAACUCUGUUGUUAGGGAAGAACAAGUACCGUUCGAAUAGGGCGGUACCUUGACGGUACCUAACCAGAAAGCCACGGCUAACUACGUGCCAGCAGCCGCGGUAAUACGUAGGUGGCAGCGUGUCCGGAAUUAUUGGGCGUAAAGCGCGCGCAGGCGGUUUCUUAAGUCUGAUGUGAAAGCCCCCGGCUCAACCGGGGAGGGUCAUUGGAAACUGGGGAACUUGAGUGCAGAAGAGGAGAGUGGAAUUCCACGUGUAGCGGUGAAAUGCGUAGAGAUGUGGAGGAACACCAGUGGCGAAGGCGACUCUCUGGUCUGUAACUGACGCUGAGGCGCGAAAGCGUGGGGAGCGAACAGGAUUAGAUACCCUGGUAGUCCACGCCGUAAACGAUGAGUGCUAAGUGUUAGAGGGUUUCCGCCCUUUAGUGCUGCAGCAAACGCAUUAAGCACUCCGCCUGGGGAGUACGGUCGCAAGACUGAAACUCAAAGGAAUUGACGGGGGCCCGCACAAGCGGUGGAGCAUGUGGUUUAAUUCGAAGCAACGCGAAGAACCUUACCAGGUCUUGACAUCCUCUGACAACCCUAGAGAUAGGGCUUCCCCUUCGGGGGCAGAGUGACAGGUGGUGCAUGGUUGUCGUCAGCUCG